Hyla sarda is the source of this 463-nucleotide long non-coding RNA. RefSeq lists it as uncharacterized. NCBI's taxonomy places the organism in Eukaryota, Metazoa, Chordata, Amphibia, Anura, Hylidae. The record is from RefSeq and is a predicted model, not a curated record. The transcript is spliced from 3 exons.
CUCUGAACCCCUUGACCCACACACUUUUGCCGACAUGUGUCUAUAUAAGCUCUCCAUUCAAGGAAACAGCCGUGCCGGAGCUCUGGGAAUGAAGAGUGUGGUCGGUACAGCACAAUUGGUCCAGUACAAAACACUAUGUUCCUGACUACGCACCUGGGCUGCCGGCUCUGACCUUCUGCUAUCCUGACUAUGAGUUGCUGUAUCCCUCCUGUGCCUUGAAUCUCCUCAGCCACCUGUCUAGUCAACCUGGGUCCCUCCAGCCGUAGCAAGACCAUUCCGCUUUGCUGUUCCUGUCUUCUAAACUUCUGGGAACAUUAUGAAAAGGAAUCGUAGCUUUAACCAACCUUUGAGGAUGAGACAGGCGACUGUGGGACGAGUGUCAGGACAGGGAUUCGGAAACUGUGACUUCAUCUAAGGCCAAAUCCAUUAGUAACAGACAAUAGUUUGAUAACUAAAGAGUAUA